AUUGAACGCUGGCGGCAGGCCUAACACAUGCAAGUCGAACGGUAGCACAGAGGAGCUUGCUCCUUGGGUGACGAGUGGCGGACGGGUGAGUAAUGUCUGGGAAACUGCCCGAUGGAGGGGGAUAACUACUGGAAACGGUAGCUAAUACCGCAUAACGUCGCAAGACCAAAGAGGGGGACCUUCGGGCCUCUUGCCAUCGGAUGUGCCCAGAUGGGAUUAGCUAGUAGGUGGGGUAACGGCUCACCUAGGCGACGAUCCCUAGCUGGUCUGAGAGGAUGACCAGCCACACUGGAACUGAGACACGGUCCAGACUCCUACGGGAGGCAGCAGUGGGGAAUAUUGCGCAAUGGGCGAAAGCCUGACGCAGCCAUGCCGCGUGUGUGAAGAAGGCCUUAGGGGUUGUAAAGCACUUUCAAUUGGGAAGAAAGUUGGUCGUUAAUAGCGGCCAGCCCUGACAUUACCUUUAGAAGAAGGACCGGCUAACUCCGUGCCAGCA
Molecule: ribosomal RNA, 496 nt
Filed under: uncultured bacterium
Lineage: Bacteria
Description: bacterial SSU rRNA
Rfam family: Bacterial small subunit ribosomal RNA
Source: RNAcentral